CCAGGGUGGAAAACAUGUCAGCUUCCCAAAACAGCUAAAUAUAAAUCUCACUGCACUGAGAGACGAUUGUACCAGCAGAAUUAUCAGGAGGCAUCUAGCACACGUUAUCCAGACACAGACCCUUUGCCAGUUACAUGUGAUUCAAGGUCUUCAUCCUGCCCCCAGUGAAGUCAGACAAAAGGAGCAGUGAACCAAUGGAAAGCACAACAGGACUCAGGAAACCAGGAAGAAAUGAAAACUUAUGCAGAAUGAGAAACAACAGACUGAAGAAAGAGGAUGGAUGGUGGCCUAGAGCAUGGCUGAGAAAAGGAGAAUGGUUUGGAUGACAAGAUGUUCUGCAGCCACACGAGUUUGCAUCUUCUGAACUGAAAUUUGGCUUCAGCGUGGCAGUUCUUCCCUUCCAUGCUCCAGUCCAGACACCCUUAGCUGCUCCAUUAGCUCUUUGCUCCCUGCUCACCUUUGGAUGUUCCAGUGCAAUACUUUUUUCUCCCAUGCAUCCCAAACACUUUCUCCUGCAUACAUACAAUUACCAGCCAGUAUUCACGCCAGGCCUCUGCUACACUGUCACUAGAAUUUCUGUUUGUGAUCCAGAUCCAAGAAGAAACAAUUCUACCAAAUGUUCAUUCUUGAUGCAGAAACAUCAAUUUGUGAAGACUUACCGAAGCGCCAUCAUUAUGAGAGAAGCUCUAAAGCAUUGAUUCUCAACCAGGGUGACACAAGAUCCUUCUAGGCAUGCUGUGCAAUAUUAGCACGGCUAGGUGUGCAAACACCUAUACAUGGCUCACAAAGAUAAACCCAGACAUUUCAAAUAGGAAUCCAAAAAGGACCUGUUGUUCUUUGCACCAUAAGUACUGUUCUAUUAUUUUCCAUAGUAAAAAAAUUAAUGAAUGAUUAAGAGAGGUCAUUUUCCAAGGUGUCUUGAGUCAAAUAAGGUUGAGAACCACUGCUCUAAAGAUCAUCAGGACCACAAUUCAACAACAUGGUCCAAGAUAUUCAAUUACUACUUUCAGCCAUAAGAAGAAUUCUGUACUGGAAAAGCAAGUUUCUUCAGCAGCCAUGGUGAAAAGGUGUUUGACUGCCACCUGCAGUUUGUUGCAAAUUAAUGCAUUCAAACUAAGAUUAAAGCAACCCUAAUUAAUGUCCUGGUUACUAUAUUUUCAAAGUACUGGAGAAGUCCAGGAACAUACUCUCUCCUGAAUCAUUAGGUUUAAACAAAUGUCACUUGAAUACUAUAUUUGGGAAUCAAAAGCAUUUAAAAAAUUUUACCGUUAAAAAUAUACAUGCAUAUAGCCAACUAGUCAGUGGCAGCAUCCUAAUGAAGCGCCUUCUCUGAUACUGGAUUAUACAAGA
This is a long non-coding RNA of Alligator sinensis (Chinese alligator), 1350 nucleotides long. RefSeq lists it as uncharacterized. The record is from RefSeq and is a predicted model, not a curated record. The transcript is spliced from 5 exons. Lineage: Eukaryota; Metazoa; Chordata; Crocodylia; Alligatoridae.